AGACGGAGGGUGCAAACGUUGUUCGGAAUCAUUGGGCAUAAAGGGCACGUAGGCGGCCCAGUAAGUCAGUUGUGAAAGCCCACGGCUCAACCGUGGAACUGCAUCUGAUACUGCUGGGCUAGAGACUGGUUGGGGUGAGUGGAACUCCUGGUGGAGCGGUGAAAUGCGUAGAUAUCAGGAGGAACACCAGUGGCGAAAGCGGCUCACUGGACCAGUACUGACGCUGAGGUGCGAAAGCUAGGGUAGCGAACGGGAUUAGAAACCCUAGUAGUCC
This 274-nucleotide ribosomal RNA is filed under the name uncultured bacterium. RNAcentral describes it as "partial 16S ribosomal RNA". It matches the Rfam family "Bacterial small subunit ribosomal RNA", at positions 523 to 796 of the family's 1533-position model. The record is from RNAcentral.